UCAUAGGGCCUAAGCGAAAGAUUCGUUCUACGCGUGGUGAAAAACACCAUUGUCCAACCAUUACUGAGCAUGUCUGAUAGUUUUCUUGUUUAGCUUCUUACAUUCCUCAUCUAACAUCUCCUUUGGCUUUGGCAUCAUCACCUUCAAGCAGUGCAUAUAAAUCUUCAUAAUAUAAGAUGUCAUCCAUCUUUAACUUUCCAAAUCGUCUAAACGGAGCCAUUAAGGCUGACCAUUCUAUUUGUGGUGCUUGCUUCCAUUUCAACACAUGAACAACAAACUCUCCCCCAAACAACUAAAGUUAUGAUACCACUUGUAGGAAAAAACAAGUCUCUCAUCAACCAAGCUUGUAUAAAAGAAAAACUCACUAACCAACCCUUUGAGACGAUUGCUGACGGAUCCAAAAAUGUGGAUGGAGAUCUCAAUAUCUCGAAAACAAACAUUCUCUUGAAAAUGAACAAGGGGAUUGAAUCCGAGGCUGUAGAGAGAGCUUGACCCUUCUUCCUCACCAAGCUUCCUUUUCUCCAAGAGAGCGAAGGAGAAAAACCCCAACCAAUUGCUAUGUCACUGUGUAUAUCCCAAAAGCCCUUCGUUGCUUUUGUCUUAAACGAAAAGGUCUAGGGAAAAGAUCAAAAGCCCUUGCUAAGGCUCACACGUGGGACACCUCCACAUCAGAGAGAAAUCCCAACAAGAGGUUGGGUGUUUUGUAACUGGAAUCCUCUCCAACACCUCUCCUGUUCCCUGUUUAUGCAUAAGUAAGACACCUAAGGUUUUUUUUUUUUUUAAAUUAUAGAUUGCCCACCAGUUUUAUAUUUAAAAUCCACUCCAUCUGGAUUUAUCCUUGUUUCUAGGCCAUGAGGAUAUCAAUCAGCCACAUUCAAAGCUCAGAUGGGCCACACCAAGGGGAACAAUGGGGAUAGAAUGCCAACUACGGUUUGUUUGGUUACAUCAUGGUGUGUCUCUCUCACUGAACCUAUGAAUCCCAUCAUGGAUUACUUGUGAUUCUAAAUAUUCGCUUCAAUUAGGCAAUCCUGAUUGUUCCAUCCAUGGGUUGGAAAAAAAAAAAAGGUCCGAAUCUAGGAUGGAUUUGAUCAUCGGAUCGGUCUCACUUUUGCAUGGUAGCCUUUGAAAUGUUUCUAGGGGCCAUUUAGAUCAAUCUUAUGAACUGUCAAUUUACAAAACUCGGUCCUUUGAGAGCACUCAAAUGAUAAAAUUGGUUGAUCUCGAACUACUUGUUAAUCCAAUAACUCUGUUAACGGCUAAGCCAUGAGUUGGAACCUGGUCCUAUCAACAGUCUUUUCCACUAUUUGUGCAGAUAGUGUAUGGGGUCUAUUCACUUAUCCAAACCUUCAUAUGAUGGGCCCUACCUUGGUUGGAGGACAUCUAAAAAUAACUCUGGCAUUGAAAAUUUUCAAAAAUUUGAUCAGUUGAGACUCUUUUGCUUUUAGUAUGGAUGGUCUCUUUAACUUCUACAUAAUCAAAUGGUUGUAUACUUCAAUUUAAGAUUUUCCUUGCUAAUUUUCCAUCCACCAUGAGGCCCAUCAAAUAAAUGGUUUGGCUCAUCCAGAAAAAAAAAA
Magnolia sinica is the source of this 1574-nucleotide long non-coding RNA. RefSeq lists it as uncharacterized. NCBI's taxonomy places the organism in Eukaryota, Viridiplantae, Streptophyta, Magnoliopsida, Magnoliales, Magnoliaceae. The record is from RefSeq and is a predicted model, not a curated record. The transcript is spliced from 2 exons.